UAUUACAUAUGUUUUGUCAAGUUCAACAUGCUAUUUGAAUACUGUGCAUUGUUUAAUUUUGCAAAACUAAGGCACUUGUUCAUUUUUCGUUGGCUUGUAUGUGUAUGUUAAUUAGAUUGCUGUUGAAUUUGUGUUUGAUCUAAUAUUUGACUCCGAUUAUGGCACCAAAUAUGUUUACUAGUAGAAUAAAAAUAAUCAAAAAAUAAGACAAAAUAGACAUGCCCGUGUCUGUUUGUGGGGCGUUCGUUGGAUGCACCGGACAGAGUAUCCGCGAACGCAUGUCCAGUAUCCCCAAAUGGGCAAAAUUUGGCAAAAAUAUGAACCUGAUUUAAAGGAUUUUGGUGAGUUAAUCUCUCGCGACUUCAGCUGACAAUGCAAUUUGUUCUCUUAUACCCUAGAUAAUACUAUGUCUUUUCCAAAAUAUAAGCAUUUUUAGAAAGCUAAUUUAGCUUGCUGAAUAAGGCUUAUAUUUCGGAACAGAGUAAUACUACUUUUUACCAUAUGAUCCGCCUUUACAUUGAGAACUUGGUUUCUCUCAUGCGAAUAGAACCUCUAGGGCUUUGUUUAGAUGUAGGUAUUCAAGUGUGGUAUUGAAAUCCCAUCUUGUUGUCCGAAAACAAGGGCACAAGAGCAACCGAAAGUUUCCUAAUCCGUUUGUGCCCCCGGCUGCAAGUGCACACUCAACUUCAUCUACUACGUCUCAAGCAUCAAGUGCAUGCCCAACUUCAUCUACUACACCAGAAGCUACAAGAACCUCUGAUGCAAUGCCCCAUGCUCCAGCAGGACACGCACCAUGGAUUCCACCAAGACAAGCUGCUCCAACAUAUGCACCUCCACAGGGACAACAAAUGGGAGGGGGGGUAUCUAAACUCCAGAUUGUAUAGCUACUUCACUGCAGGUCUUGAUGCCGAGAAUCGGCAAGAAGAAGAAUGAUGUGUAAUGCUAGGCUUAGUGACCAAGCAUAUUCCUUUUUUGGAUGCAUGUGCAAAGAGACGCAAAUUUUGUAAAUAUUUUUAUGAGCCAUGAUGGUGAUCCGAAUGAUGAUCAUAUUAUUCUGUCAUCUUUGAUGCUACAAAUGCUCAUGUUAUUCACAACAAAGGUGUGUUAAUUCACAACAAAGGUGUGUUAUAAUGCUUU
Lolium rigidum is the source of this 1137-nucleotide long non-coding RNA. RefSeq lists it as uncharacterized. Lineage: Eukaryota; Viridiplantae; Streptophyta; Magnoliopsida; Poales; Poaceae. The transcript has 2 exons. The record is from RefSeq and is a predicted model, not a curated record.